UGGCUCAGGACGAACGCUGGCGGCGUGCUUAACACAUGCAAGUCGAACGAUGAAGCCCUUCGGGGUGGAUUAGUGGCGAACGGGUGAGUAACACGUGGGCAAUCUGCCCUUCACUCUGGGACAAGCCCUGGAAACGGGGUCUAAUACCGGAUAACACCGGCUUCUGCAUGGAAGCUGGUUAAAAGCUCCGGCGGUGAAGGAUGAGCCCGCGGCCUAUCAGCUUGUUGGUGGGGUAAUGGCCUACCAAGGCGACGACGGGUAGCCGGCCUGAGAGGGCGACCGGCCACACUGGGACUGAGACACGGCCCAGACUCCUACGGGAGGCAGCAGUGGGGAAUAUUGCACAAUGGGCGAAAGCCUGAUGCAGCGACGCCGCGUGAGGGAUGACGGCCUUCGGGUUGUAAACCUCUUUCAGCAGGGAAG
This 423-nucleotide ribosomal RNA is filed under the name Streptomyces exfoliatus. RNAcentral's name for it is "bacterial SSU rRNA". It matches the Rfam family "Bacterial small subunit ribosomal RNA", at positions 20 to 447 of the family's 1533-position model. The record is from RNAcentral. Lineage: Bacteria; Bacillati; Actinomycetota; Actinomycetes; Kitasatosporales; Streptomycetaceae.